Molecule: ribosomal RNA, 425 nt
Filed under: uncultured bacterium
Lineage: Bacteria
Description: partial 16S ribosomal RNA
Rfam family: Bacterial small subunit ribosomal RNA
Source: RNAcentral
GUUAGGAAUAUUGGACAAUGGGCGAAAGCCUGAUCCAGCCAUGCCGCGUGAACGAUGAAGGCCUUCGGGUUGUAAAGUUCUUUAGCCGAUGAUUAUAAUGACUGUAGUCGGAAAAUAAGCCCCGGCUAACUUCGUGCCAGCAGCCGCGGUAAUACGAAGGGGGCGAGCGUUAUUCGGAAUCACUGGGCGUAAAGCGUGCGCAGGCGGUUUUGUAAGACAGGUGUGAAAUCCCCGGGCUUAACCUGGGAACUGCGCUUGUGACUGCAAGACUCGAGUACGGCAGAGGGGGGUUGAAUUCCACGUGUAGCAGUGAAAUGCGUAGAGAUGUGGAGGAACACCGAUGGCGAAGGCAGCCCCCUGGGUCGAUACUGACGCUCAUGCACGAAAGCGUGGGGAGCAAACAGGAUUAGAUACCCUAGUAGUCC